GAAAACAUAAUUUAAUGAUAAAUAACGAAAUUUCUUCGGUCUUGAAAACCGGCGAGGGGAAACCCUCCCAGAGUUCGAAUCUCUGCGCUUCCGCCA
This 96-nucleotide transfer RNA is filed under the name Pluralibacter gergoviae. Its description in RNAcentral is "tRNA-Ser". Lineage: Bacteria; Pseudomonadati; Pseudomonadota; Gammaproteobacteria; Enterobacterales; Enterobacteriaceae. The record is from RNAcentral.